CCUACAGCUUGAAUUUGUAUUUGGCAAUGUAAAUUGCUUUCAUUGAACAGAUGUUAGCGGACAUGACCCAAGCAAACCUUGAAGUGUUCUUGCAUGUUUGGGCUUUCCCUCACAUGUUCUUGCUUUUUGGAUAAGAAGAGCAGGCCUCCAAAAACUACCAGUUCCAGAAGGGUAAGAAACAUGUGGAGAAAUGCUGGACUUAACUUGAAGCUCGGGCUACCCCAAUAAAUUCACAAAUCUACAGCCUGAAGCAGAGCCACUCCAGACAACUUAGACAUGUGAGCAAGAAAUUAAUACCUAUUGGUGUAUGCCACUGAUAUUUUGUGGUUGUUCGUUAUUCAUCAAAAGCUGAGACAACACAUAAAGAUUAGCAGUAAUUCUCUAAUAUCAUCAAACACACCAUAUGUUAAUCAAAUGAUUUUUUGUUUAGAGUUCUUUAUAUCUUUAGAGGUAAAAUUUACAUAUAACAAAAUGUAUAAAUCUUAAGUAUAUUAUUUGAUGAGCUUUAAUAAAUAGUAUACAACUGUGUGCAAUCCAAAACUCUGUCAAGACAGAGAACAUUACUAUCUCUGCAAAAAGUUCCCUUAUGCUGCAUCCCAAUCUAUUUCUACCCACCACCCACCCCUUCAGGGGUUGAGGGAGACACUUGACUAAAAGGGGGCAAGAGAACAUUUGAGAUAAUGGAAGUUACUUGAUUGUGGUAUUGAUUACACAACUGUAUACAAUUGCUAAUACUACCAAACUGCACAUUUAAAGUGGGGCAAUUUAUUGCACAUAAAUUAUACCUCAAAAAAACUAAGAAAAUACACACAGAAACGUAUUACAUCAGACAAUAUCAACACUAAAAUCCUCUAAUUCUGAAACUAUUCUGUUUUUGUAUCACAGAGAAGAAAUAAUAAAUGAGUGAGUGAGCCUGAACCCCACCCAUUCCAUCCCUUUACUAGAAAUAAAUGAAUCAUUCUGGAUGAGCUAUUCAUCAAACACGAUGCCGUGCUAAAAUGGUGCAUAACUGGAAUACAAAUUAAAGUUACUCAUGUCCAAAAGUUCCUUCUAAAGCUCCAAUGAUUCAGAAAGAAAGAGAAAGUUGAUAUAAUCAUGUGAAAUUCAAUGGCUUUUUAGUCCUGGUUUCUCCAUCUUGGCUCCCUUUAUUUUGAUAGUCUGGGAAGUAGUUGAUAAAAUUCUUAGCCAUUCUCUCUCAAAGCCCACAGUCUUUUCCCCUAAAUACCACCUUGACCUGUAUGGGAAGGGAAAAUCAUCAAUGACAAACAUCAUUAUAACUCUUUCAUCAUUAUUAUGUCU
Molecule: long non-coding RNA, 1299 nt
Filed under: Equus caballus (horse)
Lineage: Eukaryota; Metazoa; Chordata; Mammalia; Perissodactyla; Equidae
Description: lncRNA (ENSECAG00000047826.1)
Source: RNAcentral